Long non-coding RNA from Mytilus trossulus (common blue mussel), 999 nucleotides. RefSeq lists it as uncharacterized. The record is from RefSeq and is a predicted model, not a curated record. Lineage: Eukaryota; Metazoa; Mollusca; Bivalvia; Mytilida; Mytilidae. The transcript is spliced from 5 exons.
UUAUAGAAAUGAAAAUGUACAUGAAAGAACACUAGACAUCAAACAAUAUAUUAAUUUGAAUGUGUUUCAUAUCUCCAAAAAUAAGUUGAUUAUAUAGGGAAUCACUGAAGCAUGACUGGAGUGCCCCCCCUUUUUUUUUUAGGUCUGUCUUUGGGCCCACCUUAUAAAAAGUACUGGAUCUCCCGCAGAUUAAACAUGUUUGUGAAUGCUCAACAAUGCACUAACAUGGGACAAUAAGAAUAAGGGAUCAGCUUUGGGUUUGUGUAUAAGGAUCAAGACUGGAAAUGGCAAUUAGAUCAGACUUUUAAAGCUGAUGUGAGGACUGAUUCCAUGGUGUUGGAAGUAAGAACUGGCGAUUUGAUACUGCUAACAUAUUGGUUAGCAUCACAGCUUGUCCUUUUGGAUACUGGCUGGAGUAGAAUUUGGAUCCUUUUUGAGGUGCCCUUGUGUGGUCAAUCCAAUGGAGAAUAACAAUCAUGCAGACCAGAUAUAUAUUGCUCUUUUGUGUUUAAUAAAAUCUUUAAAUGGUAAUUCUGAAAGCCAAAUGAUUCAUUUUUUUAUGCUGUUAUUUUUCUAUUUACUGUAAAUUAAUAAAUUUUUGUUUUGAAUACUGUUAUUCAUUCGGCUCAAAUGUAGUAUACAGAUAUGUAGUUCCAGCUUUUGAUGUGUAUUCCUUAGCAAAUAAAUAACUUGUAUUAUAGUUAUAAAAAAAGUUAAUUUAUACUUAUCAUUUUGGAAAAUUAUAAUUGUAAUUGUUGACAAUUUGAUAGAAUAAAAAAGUCUUUUAUGGUUGACUGUAUUAAAGCUAAUUUUUGCCGAAAUUACGGGCUUUGGACUUUAAGAAAUUGUUGAAAAUCAGUUAUACAGAUUUUUUUUCUGGAAGCCUCCAGAUUUUGAGGUUAUUUUUAAUAUGUGAGACUACCAUCAGGUUUAUGUCCACAUGUGUUAUUGAAAUUGCAGAUUUUCCAACUUUUUAGGAAGCCAUCUAGUUUUUUAAUA